This 73-nucleotide transfer RNA is filed under the name Dictyocaulus viviparus (bovine lungworm). It matches the Rfam family "tRNA". Rfam says of the family: Transfer RNA (tRNA) molecules are approximately 80 nucleotides in length. Their secondary structure includes four short double-helical elements and three loops (D, anti-codon, and T loops). Lineage: Eukaryota; Metazoa; Nematoda; Chromadorea; Rhabditida; Metastrongylidae. The record is from Rfam by way of RNAcentral.
GCUUCAGUAGGGCAAUUGGUCAGCACAACAGACUGGACAUCUUUAGAUGCGGGUUCGAGACGCGCUUGAGGUU